UACAGAGGUGGCAAGCGUUGUUCGGAAUUACUGGGCGUAAAGGGCGCGUAGGCGGUGCUCUAAGUUAGAUGUGAAAACUCUGGGCUCAACCCAGAGCCUGCAUCUAAAACUGGAGUGCUAGAGUUCUGGAGGGGGUAGCGGAAUUCCUGGUGUAGCGGUGAAAUGCGUAGAUAUCAGGAGGAACACCGGUGGCGAAGGCGGCUACCUGGACAGAAACUGACGCUGAGGCGCGAAAGCUAGGGGAGCAAACAGG
This 253-nucleotide ribosomal RNA is filed under the name uncultured bacterium. RNAcentral's name for it is "partial 16S ribosomal RNA". It matches the Rfam family "Bacterial small subunit ribosomal RNA", at positions 524 to 776 of the family's 1533-position model. The record is from RNAcentral.